ACUUGCUUUGGCAGCAGAUAUAUACUAAAAUCAGGAAAAUACAGCGGAGAUUAACAUGGCCCCUUUACAAGGAUGGCACACAAAUUCAUGAAACGCUCCAUAAAAAU
Small nuclear RNA from Sapajus apella (tufted capuchin), 107 nucleotides. The record is from RefSeq and is a predicted model, not a curated record. Lineage: Eukaryota; Metazoa; Chordata; Mammalia; Primates; Cebidae.